ACAAUAGUGGCGCACGGGUGCGUAACGCGUAGCCAACCUACCCGAAUCUGGGGGAUAGCCCGCCGAAAGGCGGAUUAAUACCGCAUAAAACUGCAGUCCGGCAUCGGGCAACAGUUAAAGAUUUAUUGGAUUCGGAUGGGGCUGCGUGCCAUUAGCUGGUUGGGGAGGUAACGGCUCACCAAGGCGACGAUGGCUAGGGGAGCUGAGAGGCUGGUCCCCCACACGGGCACUGAGAUACGGGCCCGACUCCUACGGGAGGCAGCAGUAGGGAAUAUUGGGCAAUGGGCGAGAGCCUGACCCAGCCAUGCCGCGUGCAGGACGAAGGCUUUCUGAGUCGUAAACUGCUUUUCUCAGGGAAGAAAAAAGGGGAUGCGUCCCCUACUGACGGUACCUGAGGAAUAAGCACCGGCUAACUCCGUGCCAGCAGCCGCGGUAAUACGGAGGGUGCAAGCGUUGUCCGGAUUUAUUGGGUUUAAAGGGUGCGUAGGCGGCCGUUUAAGUCCGGGGUGAAAGCCCACUGCUCAACAGUGGAACUGCCCUGGAAACUGGACGGCUUGAGUACAGACGAGGGCGGCGGAAUGGAGGGUGUAGCGGUGAAAUGCAUAGAUACCCUCCAGAACACCGAUUGCGAAG
RNAcentral lists this non-coding RNA (633 nucleotides) under Hymenobacter glacialis. RNAcentral's name for it is "bacterial SSU rRNA". It matches the Rfam family "Bacterial small subunit ribosomal RNA", at positions 89 to 720 of the family's 1533-position model. The record is from RNAcentral. Lineage: Bacteria; Pseudomonadati; Bacteroidota; Cytophagia; Cytophagales; Hymenobacteraceae.